Molecule: ribosomal RNA, 253 nt
Filed under: uncultured bacterium
Lineage: Bacteria
Description: partial 16S ribosomal RNA
Rfam family: Bacterial small subunit ribosomal RNA
Source: RNAcentral
UACGUAGGGUGCAAGCGUUGUCCGGAAUUAUUGGGCGUAAAGAGCUCGUAGGCGGUCUGUUGCGUCGGCUGUGAAAACCCGGGGCUCAACUCCGGGCCUGCAGCCGAUACGGGCAGACUAGAGUUCGGCAGGGGAGACUGGAAUUCCUGGUGUAGCGGUGAAAUGCGCAGAUAUCAGGAGGAACACCGGUGGCGAAGGCGGGUUGCUGGGCUGACACUGACGCUGAGGCGCGAAAGCCAGGGGAGCAAACGGG